CGGGGUGUAGCGCAGCUUGGCUAGCGCGCUUGAAUGGGGUUCAAGAGGUCGUGGGUUCAAAUCCCGCCACCCCGA
This is a transfer RNA of Candidatus Jettenia caeni, 75 nucleotides long. It matches the Rfam family "tRNA". From Rfam's summary of the family: Transfer RNA (tRNA) molecules are approximately 80 nucleotides in length. The record is from Rfam. Lineage: Bacteria; Pseudomonadati; Planctomycetota; Candidatus Brocadiia; Candidatus Brocadiales; Candidatus Brocadiaceae.